GAUGAACGCUGGCGGCGUGCCUAAUACAUGCAAGUCGAGCGAACAGACGAGGAGCUUGCUCCUCUGACGUUAGCGGCGGACGGGUGAGUAACACGUGGAUAACCUACCUAUAAGACUGGGAUAACUUCGGGAAACCGGAGCUAAUACCGGAUAAUAUAUUGAACCGCAUGGUUCAAUAGUGAAAGACGGUUUUGCUGUCACUUAUAGAUGGAUCCGCGCCGCAUUAGCUAGUUGGUAAGGUAACGGCUUACCAAGGCGACGAUGCGUAGCCGACCUGAGAGAGUGAUCGGCCACACUGGAACUGAGACACGGUCCAGACUCCUACGGGAGGCAGCAGUAGGGAAUCUGCCGCAAUGGGCGAAAGCCUGACGGAGCAACGCCGCGUGAGUGAUGAAGGUCUUCGGAUCGUAAAACUCUGUUAUUAGGGAAGAACAAAUGUGUAAGUAACUAUGCACGUCUUGACGGUACCUAAUCAGAAAGCCACGGCUAACUACGUG
Molecule: ribosomal RNA, 497 nt
Filed under: uncultured bacterium
Lineage: Bacteria
Description: partial 16S ribosomal RNA
Rfam family: Bacterial small subunit ribosomal RNA
Source: RNAcentral